This 378-nucleotide long non-coding RNA is filed under the name Monodelphis domestica (gray short-tailed opossum). RNAcentral describes it as "lncRNA (ENSMODG00000043277.1)". The record is from RNAcentral. Lineage: Eukaryota; Metazoa; Chordata; Mammalia; Didelphimorphia; Didelphidae.
CGCUACUUACAGCACCUCUAAAUCAGGACUUCUUAACCCCGGGUUUCUGAAUCCACAGAACAAUGGACAGAGAAAAGGAGACUCAGGAGCAGGAUUUGUGUGUGUGUCUGCAUGUGUACGGUUGGGUGGGGAACCACUUGCCUCUAGAGACACGCAGAGCAAAAGCCCCUUUCUACACUUUUCAGAUAAUACAGAAUAACUCUCAUCUUGCUGCUGCUGCCUGGGUUCUUGGUGAUUUGGGAAGUUGUGCACUAACAGUUUCCUCUUCUUAAGAGUAGCAGAAAUCUGAAGCCAGACUUCCAUGAGAAAAUCAGAGGAAACAGAUGCCUAACAGAUAUGAUGGCUAAGUAGUAAAAAAUAAAAUAAAAUAAUUAUGCA